GGAGAGAUGGUCGAGCUGGCUGAAGGCACCGGUCUUGAAAACCGGCGUGGGUGUACGCCCACCGUGGGUUCAAAUCCCACUCUCUCCGCCA
Molecule: transfer RNA, 91 nt
Filed under: Clostridiaceae bacterium
Lineage: Bacteria; Bacillati; Bacillota; Clostridia; Eubacteriales; Clostridiaceae
Description: tRNA-Ser
Rfam family: tRNA
About the family: Transfer RNA (tRNA) molecules are approximately 80 nucleotides in length.
Source: RNAcentral